AGGUUAAGUUAGAAAGGGCGCACGGUGAAUGCCUUGGCACUAGGAGCCGAUGAAGGACGGGACUAACACCGAUAUGCUUCGGGGAGCUGUAAGUAAGCUUUGAUCCGGAGAUUUCCGAAUGGGGGAACCCACUGUUCGUAAUGGAGCAGUAUCUUUACCUGAAUACAUAGGGUAAUGAAGGCAGACCCGGGGAACUGAAACAUCUAAGUACCCGGAGGAAGAGAAAGCAAACGCGAUUCCCUGAGUAGCGGCGAGCGAAACGGGAUAUAGCCCAAACCAAGAGGCUUGCCUCUUGGGGUUGUAGGACACUCAACAUGGAGUUACAAAGGAACGGGGUAGAUGAAGCGACCUGGAAAGGUCCGUCAGAGAAGGUAAAAACCCUGUAGUCGAAACUUCGUUCCCUCCUGAGUGGAUCCUGAGUACGGCCGGACACGAGAAAUCCGGUCGGAAGCUGGGAGGACCAUCUCCCAAGGCUAAAUACUCCCUAGUGACCGAUAGUGAACCAGUACCGUGAGGGAAAGGUGAAAAGCACCCCGGAAGGGGAGUGAAACAGAUCCUGAAACCGUGUGCCUACAAGUAGUCAGAGCCCGUUCAUGGGUGAUGGCGUGCCUUUUGUAGAAUGAACCGGCGAGUUACGAUUACAUGCAAGGUUAAGUUGAAAAGACGGAGCCGCAGCGAAAGCGAGUCUGAAUAGGGCGUUUGAGUAUGUGGUCGUAGACCCGAAACCAGGUGAUCUACCCAUGUCCAGGGUGAAGUCCAGGUAACACUGGAUGGAGGCCCGAACCCACGCACGUUGAAAAGUGCGGGGAUGAGGUGUGGGUAGCGGAGAAAUUCCAAUCGAACCUGGAGAUAGCUGGUUCUCUCCGAAAUAGCUUUAGGGCUAGCCUCACGUUGUAAGAGUCUUGGAGGUAGAGCACUGUUUGGACUAGGGGCCCUCAUCGGGUUACCGAAUUCAGACAAACUCCGAAUGCCAAAGACUUAUCCGUGGGAGUCAGACUGCGAGUGAUAAGAUCCGUAGUCAAAAGGGAAACAGCCCAGACCACCAGCUAAGGUCCCCAAGUUUACGUUAAGUGGAAAAGGAUGUGGAGUUGCUUAGACAACCAGGAUGUUGGCUUAGAAGCAGCCACCAUUUAAAGAGUGCGUAAUAGCUCACUGGUCGAGUGACUCUGCGCCGAAAAUGUACCGGGGCUAAACGUAACACCGAAGCUGUGGAUUGACACCGU
This 1223-nucleotide ribosomal RNA is filed under the name Campylobacter sp. 1. RNAcentral describes it as "bacterial LSU rRNA". It matches the Rfam family "Bacterial large subunit ribosomal RNA", at positions 1 to 1216 of the family's 2925-position model. Lineage: Bacteria; Pseudomonadati; Campylobacterota; Epsilonproteobacteria; Campylobacterales; Campylobacteraceae. The record is from RNAcentral.